This 324-nucleotide ribosomal RNA is filed under the name uncultured eukaryote. Its description in RNAcentral is "partial 18S ribosomal RNA". It matches the Rfam family "Eukaryotic small subunit ribosomal RNA", at positions 1470 to 1796 of the family's 1831-position model. The record is from RNAcentral.
CCCUUAGAUGUCCUGGGCUGCACGCGCGCUACACUGAUGUGUCCAGUAAGCACCUAACCUCUUCCGAAAGGAACGGGUAACCUUUGCAAAGCACAUCGUGAUGGGGAUAGAUUAUUGCAAUUAUUAGUCUUGAACGAGGAAUUCCUAGUAAGCACAAGUCAUCAGCUUGUGUUGAUUACGUCCCUGCCCUUUGUACACACCGCCCGUCGCUCCUACCGAUUGAAUGUUCCGGUGAGCUCUUCGGACUGCGCGGUCUGCAGUUUCUGCGUUCCGUGCGUAAAGUUGCGCAAACCUUAACAUUUAGAGGAAGGAGAAGUCGUAACA